UACGUAGGGUGCAAGCGUUAAUCGGAAUUACUGGGCGUAAAGGGCGCGUAGGCGGCCUUGUCAGUCAGGCGUGAAAGCCCCGGGCUCAACCUGGGAACGGCGCUUGGGACGGCGAGGCUGGAGUUCGGGAGAGGGGAGUGGAAUUCCCAGUGUAGAGGUGAAAUUCGUAGAUAUUGGGAAGAACACCGGUGGCGAAGGCGGCUCUCUGGACCGACACUGACGCUGAGGCGCGAAAGCGUGGGGAGCAAACAGG
RNAcentral lists this ribosomal RNA (253 nucleotides) under uncultured bacterium. Its description in RNAcentral is "partial 16S ribosomal RNA". It matches the Rfam family "Bacterial small subunit ribosomal RNA", at positions 524 to 776 of the family's 1533-position model. The record is from RNAcentral.